GGGCCGGUAGCUCAGUGGUUAGAGCAGGCGACUCAUAAUCGCUCGGUCGCGGGUUCGAUUCCCGCUCGGCCCACCG
Molecule: transfer RNA, 76 nt
Filed under: Acidimicrobiaceae bacterium
Lineage: Bacteria; Bacillati; Actinomycetota; Acidimicrobiia; Acidimicrobiales; Acidimicrobiaceae
Description: tRNA-Met
Rfam family: tRNA
About the family: Transfer RNA (tRNA) molecules are approximately 80 nucleotides in length. Their secondary structure includes four short double-helical elements and three loops (D, anti-codon, and T loops). Further hydrogen bonds mediate the characteristic L-shaped molecular structure. tRNAs have two regions of fundamental functional importance: the anti-codon, which is responsible for specific mRNA codon recognition, and the 3' end, to which the tRNAs corresponding amino acid is attached (by aminoacyl-tRNA synthetases). tRNAs cope with the degeneracy of the genetic code in two manners: having more than one tRNA (with a specific anti-codon) for a particular amino acid; and 'wobble' base-pairing, i.e. permitting non-standard base-pairing at the 3rd anti-codon position.
Source: RNAcentral